This 271-nucleotide long non-coding RNA is filed under the name Amborella trichopoda. RNAcentral's name for it is "long non-coding RNA (ATRI_LNC001396)". Lineage: Eukaryota; Viridiplantae; Streptophyta; Magnoliopsida; Amborellales; Amborellaceae. The record is from RNAcentral.
GACUAAAUUGUUCAGUUCAUGGUGCUAGAAUUAAAUGUUGAACACCACUGUAGUUACAGCUGUAUCAGUUCCAUUUGUUAGAAACCAAAUAAAUGGAUUUAAGUUGGGAGUUAGUAGAUGCACAACCGCAUCAGCUGAAGUCCUUUACAUUCAGCAGUAGCUUCAGUUCGAUUUCACGAGUUUUACUACUCUCCUCCUCGCACAUUCAGAAAAAAGGAAAUAUAAUGAUACGAUGAACACCAUGAGAAUUCCACUUGCAUUAGCUCCAUUC